UACGUAGGGUGCAAGCGUUAAUCGGAAUUACUGGGCGUAAAGCGUGCGUAGGCGGCUUUGCAAGACAGAUGUGAAAUCCCCGGGCUCAACCUGGGAACUGCAUUUGUGACUGCAUGGCUGGAGUGCGGCAGAGGGGGAUGGAAUUCCGCGUGUAGCAGUGAAAUGCGUAGAUAUGCGGAGGAACACCGAUGGCGAAGGCAAUCCCCUGGGCCUGCACUGACGCUCAUGCACGAAAGCGUGGGGAGCAAACAGG
RNAcentral lists this ribosomal RNA (253 nucleotides) under uncultured bacterium. RNAcentral describes it as "partial 16S ribosomal RNA". It matches the Rfam family "Bacterial small subunit ribosomal RNA", at positions 524 to 776 of the family's 1533-position model. The record is from RNAcentral.